Talpa occidentalis (Iberian mole) is the source of this 952-nucleotide long non-coding RNA. RefSeq lists it as uncharacterized. NCBI's taxonomy places the organism in Eukaryota, Metazoa, Chordata, Mammalia, Eulipotyphla, Talpidae. The transcript is spliced from 6 exons. The record is from RefSeq and is a predicted model, not a curated record.
AUGGCUGCUGCAUGCAACAAAUCCUUUAAGAUGAAUAUUGGUUAGACUCCUUUCUACCACCUUUGUAGGUUUAGCUUUCGUGUUCAUUUGACACAGAAUGAAACAAGCUCAGAAAGACUGAAGUGCCUGGCCUCCAUGGAGCCAGCAGGAGGGCUGAGGUUUGAGUCCAGAAAGUGCAACAUCAGGAGAAAGCUCUGCAUAUUUACUGUUAAUUUUCUUCUGAAAACAGGAUGACCAUUCCAGGUCUGGAAUGGCAGGUACAAGGCAGCAUAAUGGAUGGGUGAAUACACAGGCAGUCUCCAUUGUGCCAUCAGCUUUUGGAGGAACCAGAGGAGAUUUCCAGAAGCCUUAGCCUGGGGAAGUGUUGACUGAGAAUCAGGUCGGCUGUAUCCUAGCUCUACUUUUCAACAGUAUUCCUUGUCAUGGAAUUGUACUUGUGCUUCUGACCCAGCCUCCCCACUAUGGCCACAUGAAAGGCAUGGCCAUUCCCCUUGAGCCCCACCAGGCAAAGCUCUGGUGCAGAGUGGGAGUCAAGGAAAAAGAGAGCUUCGAAGUAUUUCUUGUUAAAAUACAUCUCUUUGUGGAAGCCUUUGACAAAAAUCCAAGCACAAAGGAAUAAGGGGCGUGGAGAAGCCAAGUUUCUAUAAAAUGACCCAGGGCUUCCUCAUGGACCAGCAUCAGUUUAUGGAUCAGCAUUUAGAAACCACUGACCUUGGGAAUGUUAUCACAAUCCAUCUUGCUUUGCCUCCACAAACACGAAUAUGAGCUCCCUCCAACUCGGCCAGAAGAAUGACAACUUGAGAUUAAUAUACCAAUGCUGAAAAUAGUCCCCCUCUCUGCUGGACAAUAAGAGCAUUGGGAGCUGAAGAUCGGUUUAUUCGCCAAGUAUUUCUGGCACCCAGCAAAGUGCCCAGCACAUAUGGGUGUUUAAUAAAUAUUUGUUGAUGAAAGG